RNAcentral lists this ribosomal RNA (322 nucleotides) under uncultured eukaryote. RNAcentral's name for it is "partial 18S ribosomal RNA". It matches the Rfam family "Eukaryotic small subunit ribosomal RNA", at positions 1470 to 1796 of the family's 1831-position model. The record is from RNAcentral.
CCCUUAGAUGUUCUGGGCUGCACGCGCGCUACACUGAUGCGUUCAACGAGUGUACAACCUUAACCGAUAGGUUUGGGUAAUCUUUUGAACACGCAUCGUGAUGGGGAUUGAUUAUUGCAAUUAUUAAUCAUCAACGAGGAAUUCCUAGUAGUGGUGAAUCAUCAGUUCAUCGCGAUUACGUCCCUGCCCUUUGUACACACCGCCCGUCGCACCUACCGAUUGAAUGGUCCGGUGAAAUCUCGGGACGGCGGCUUGGUCGCUUGCGUCCGACUGCUGAAACUUGAUUAAACCAUAUCAUUUAGAGGAAGGUGAAGUCGUAACA